Small nuclear RNA from Oryctolagus cuniculus (rabbit), 95 nucleotides. Its record names the gene U2. It matches the Rfam family "U2 spliceosomal RNA". From Rfam's summary of the family: U2 is a small nuclear RNA (snRNA) component of the spliceosome (involved in pre-mRNA splicing). Complementary binding between U2 snRNA (in an area lying towards the 5' end but 3' to hairpin I) and the branchpoint sequence (BPS) of the intron results the bulging out of an unpaired adenosine, on the BPS, which initiates a nucleophilic attack at the intronic 5' splice site, thus starting the first of two transesterification reactions that mediate splicing. The record is from Ensembl. Lineage: Eukaryota; Metazoa; Chordata; Mammalia; Lagomorpha; Leporidae.
AUUGCUUCUCAGCCUUUUGACUAAGAUCUAGUAUCUGUUCUCAUCAGUUUAAAAGCUCAUUUAUUUGCCUUUAUUUAUUAGAAGAUAGAACCUCC